CCUUACUUUAAAAGAAAAAGAAAAGGAGAAGAAGAAAAAAAAUCCACUGACCAAGGCCGGGCCCCCUUGACAGCCACGGGCCCGGGUACACCAGACCCCCCUCUCCCCCCCUCUCGUCAGGCCUGGGCACCACUAGAAGCAUGAGCUUAAAGUGUGUGGUCCCCCAAUAGAACAAUUUUCCAAAUAGGCAGGUACUUAAAAUACUAGGUAUACUGCAAUAAGAAUAAUCACUGAGCUUGUGUAGUGCGACUCCCUGGCCAAAGCCUGACUCACUGCACUUAACAAACAAAAAAUGCAAAAGAAAGACGAAAAUCCUGAAUAAGGAUUAAAUGACAGCAGCACAAGAACAAGAGAGUUAGAACUAAUGAAAGGCAAAUAUGAAGCAGGAAGCAUUGAGUGCAAGCAGACAUAAUGAACUCAAAAUCAAACUGAAAUGUCAAUGAUACCUGAACAUAAAAGGCUAAAACAACAGAGCUUAUGAACCAAUGUACAGAAUGCACAUAUGAUUACUUAAGUGUUCAGUUCGUCUGAUGAAGAUACAAUCACUUAUAUAAUAGAAAGUAGGUCAUUGAUUGUUUUGUGGUAGGCUGUUCUAUAAGAUGCUAUUUUGGUAGAAAAGAAUUUCUUUUAAAAAAGUCCUUAUUCUGAGCAUAGGUCUUUUAUUUGGUCUACAUAUGUGAUAAGGAUUAUUUGUUCUUGUUAUUUGGUUCCUCUUUGUGUUUUCUGUAUUUGAUUUUAUUCUUUGUUUAGUACGGUUUAUUUUUUAUAGCUCAUAUGUUAUUUAUUUGUUUUCCUUUCCCUCAUAUGCUGUCCAUAUUUCAUUCUUGAUCUUAAAUGCUGAGCAUGCUCUUUAGGAGUGUGGGUAUGCACUUUACAAAUUUUGCAUUUAUUAUUAUUAUCAUUAAAAAUAAUCAAUGUAAAGUCCAUUUAUCAUUUUAAAAUAGAGUAUUGAUCUGUGCCUUUCUUUUAAAAUACAAAAGUCCAAUACAUUGUAUAACUUUGAAUGACUAGUCCAUUUAUAGCUCCAAUAAUAAUUCUUCAAGGUAAAGUUUUGAUUGAUGGUUUUAAGUCAGUCUGUACAGUCAUCCAAGAUGACAUCAGUGUAAUUAAAAAAAGGGUCAAACUAUUUGUGUUCAUUGGAUUCAGUGACAGACAAAAAUGGCAGCAUCCAAAUAGCACAAUAGUUUUUUUUUCUUUUAAGUAUUAUGACAAUAAAGGUAUUCCAGUUCUUUAACACUUUGAAGUUUUACUUACUGAGACCGUAGAGCUGUUUUAGGCAAGUACAUAGAGACAGUUAAUGAGGAUUGCCUUUAAAGCCUGGCACAACACCUUCCUGGCAGAUCACAGGGAGAGCACCAUCUCUGUUAUAACAAAAGAGAGGUAUUUAAAUGGUUUAGGAAAGUUUUUGAAGAGUCACAUAAUUUUGAAGUUUUGCUUUUGUAUGGUUCCCGGUUCUAAGAUUUGUCAGUGAAAAUUGUCCAUUUCCUCUUUUGAAGCAUCUUGCGUCUGUUGCUUACCUUUCUAUCAUCUUUUAUGAUUUUAUUGGUAACGGCAUCAUUCUUAGGUUGUCUCUCUUCAUACAUUUUUAGCAUCUGUCUCUGUGUGUGUCUGCGCGCGCGCACGCACAGGUUUUCAGUAUGUACAUCAAGAUUAGUGAAUGUUUACAUAAAUACUUUUAUUACAAUGCAAAUAUCAUUCAUGUGUGUGUUUUGAAAAGAUGAGCUACAUUCUGAGAUAGGUAUUGAUUCUACUAAAGUUCUAUCAGCAGAUUUAAAAAAAUUUCUAUAGUUAUUAUUUAUUCAAUGCAUGUUAUAAGCAAUGGAUAUCCUUAUUUGAUGUUUCAGGCCCGUUAUCUAAUUGAAAGUGUAUAUAAUCACAUCUGAAAUUUCAGUUUCAGAGUUCAUUGUUUCGCUGUUUGUCCUGUUCGUAUGACAAUAUGGCCGUCAAAAGAAUUUUUAAAUUGUUAAGGCUUUUCCAGCAUUAGUACUGAUUCUAAGAGAUUUUGAGGCAUUGGAAUGGAUAAGAGUUAAAGGUAAAAACUAAACAAUGGAAUUUCUCAUGCUACUCUUUUUUCAGUUUUGUCUGAUUCUAGGUUAUUAAGCCACACUGUGUUUACUGAAAUUUUUGUUUGUUUUCUGAGAAUAGUGUAUUUUUAAGAGCUUGUUAAACUCAAUUUUCUUUUAAAUUUAUCAUGAAUGUAAAUGAGUAUUUCAGCCGUCUGUCUGAACUUUCCAUGAACUUAGUGCCAUAUUUCCAAUUCUGUCUUUCAAUUAAAUAUUGUUCAAAUGUAUUGCAUUUUUUUUAAGUAAUAGUUUACAUUGUAUUGCUCAAUUGUGGAAAAGCGUACCUUUUGUCAUUACCAUUAUGCGAAAACUUUGUUAAAUAGCUAUUUUUGACUCAAGACGUGUUAUGAGUUAUGAA
This 2421-nucleotide long non-coding RNA is filed under the name Pomacea canaliculata. Its description in RNAcentral is "uncharacterized LOC112573602". Lineage: Eukaryota; Metazoa; Mollusca; Gastropoda; Architaenioglossa; Ampullariidae. The record is from RNAcentral.